Molecule: ribosomal RNA, 884 nt
Filed under: uncultured bacterium
Lineage: Bacteria
Description: bacterial SSU rRNA
Rfam family: Bacterial small subunit ribosomal RNA
Source: RNAcentral
CAUGGCUCAGGACGAACGCUGGCGGCGUGCUUAACACAUGCAAGUCGAACGAUGAACCACUUCGGUGGGGAUUAGUGGCGAACGGGUGAGUAACACGUGGGCAAUCUGCCCUGCACUCUGGGACAAGCCCUGGAAACGGGGUCUAAUACCGGAUACUGACCCUCGCAGGCAUCUGCGAGGUUCGAAAGCUCCGGCGGUGCAGGAUGAGCCCGCGGCCUAUCAGCUUGUUGGUGAGGUAAUGGCUCACCAAGGCGACGACGGGUAGCCGGCCUGAGAGGGCGACCGGCCACACUGGGACUGAGACACGGCCCAGACUCCUACGGGAGGCAGCAGUGGGGAAUAUUGCACAAUGGGCGAAAGCCUGAUGCAGCGACGCCGCGUGAGGGAUGACGGCCUUCGGGUUGUAAACCUCUUUCAGCAGGGAAGAAGCGAAAGUGACGGUACCUGCAGAAGAAGCGCCGGCUAACUACGUGCCAGCAGCCGCGGUAAUACGUAGGGCGCAAGCGUUGUCCGGAAUUAUUGGGCGUAAAGAGCUCGUAGGCGGCUUGUCGCGUCGGUUGUGAAAGCCCGGGGCUUAACCCCGGGUCUGCAGUCGAUACGGGCAGGCUAGAGUUCGGUAGGGGAGAUCGGAAUUCCUGGUGUAGCGGUGAAAUGCGCAGAUAUCAGGAGGAACACCGGUGGCGAAGGCGGAUCUCUGGGCCGAUACUGACGCUGAGGAGCGAAAGCGUGGGGAGCGAACAGGAUUAGAUACCCUGGUAGUCCACGCCGUAAACGGUGGGCACUAGGUGUGGGCGACAUUCCACGUCGUCCGUGCCGCAGCUAACGCAUUAAGUGCCCCGCCUGGGGAGUACGGCCGCAAGGCUAAAACUCAAAGGAAUUGACGG